UGAGGAAUAUUGGUCAAUGGACGCAAGUCUGAACCAGCCAUGCCGCGUGCAGGAAGACGGCUCUAUGAGUUGUAAACUGCUUUUGUACGAGAGUAAACGCUCUUACGUGUAAGAGCCUGAAAGUAUCGUACGAAUAAGGAUCGGCUAACUCCGUGCCAGCAGCCGCGGUAAUACGGAGGAUCCAAGCGUUAUCCGGAUUUAUUGGGUUUAAAGGGUGCGUAGGCGGUUUGAUAAGUUAGAGGUGAAAUACCGGUGCUUAACACCGGAACUGCCUCUAAUACUGUUGGACUAGAGAGUAGUUGCGGUAGGCGGAAUGUAUGGUGUAGCGGUGAAAUGCUUAGAGAUCAUACAGAACACCGAUUGCGAAGGCAGCUUACCAAACUAUAUCUGACGUUGAGGCACGAAAGCGUGGGGAGCAAACAGGAUUAGAUACCCUGGUAGUCCACGCAGUAAACGAUGAUAACUCGCUGUCGGCGAUACACAGUCGGCGGCUAAGCGAAAGCGAUAAGUUAUCCACCUGGGGAGUACGUUCGCAAGAAUGAAACUCAAAGGAAUUGACGGGGGCCCGCACAAGCGGAGGAACAUGUGGUUUAAUUCGAUGAUACGCGAGGAACCUUACCCGGGCUUGAAAGUUACUGACGAUUCUGGAAACAGGAUUUCCCUUCGGGGCAGGAAACUAGGUGCUGCAUGGUUGUCGUCAGCUCGUGCCGUGAGGUGUCGGGUUAAGUCCCAUAACGAGCGCAACCCCUACCGUUAGUUGCCAUCAGGUCAAGCUGGGCACUCUGGCGGGACUGCCGGUGUAAGCCGAGAGGAAGGUGGGGAUGACGUCAAAUCAGCACGGCCCUUACGUCCGGGGCUACACACGUGUUACAAUGGUAGGUACAGAGGGCAGCUACCCAGUGAUGGGAUGCGAAUCUCGAAAGCCUAUCUCAGUUCGGAUCGGAGGCUGAAACCCGCCUCCGUGAAGUUGGAUUCGCUAGUAAUCGCGCAUCAGCCAUGGCGCGGUGAAUACGUUCCC
Molecule: ribosomal RNA, 1018 nt
Filed under: uncultured organism
Description: bacterial SSU rRNA
Rfam family: Bacterial small subunit ribosomal RNA
Source: RNAcentral